CAGUCGCCACGGUAAAACGUAGGUGGCAAGCGUUGUCCGGAAUUAUUGGGCGUAAAGGGCUCGCAGGCGGUUUCUUAAGUCUGAUGUGAAAGCCCCCGGCUCAACCGGGGAGGGUCAUUGGAAACUGGGAAACCUGAGUGCAGAAGAGGAGAGUGGAAUUCCACGUGUAGCGGUGAAAUGCGUAGAGAUGUGGAGGAACACCAGUGGCGAAGGCGACUCUCUGGUCUGUAACUGACGCUGAGGAGCGAAAGCGUGGGGAGCGAACAGGAUUAGAUACCCGCGUAGUCCCUGUCUCUUAUAC
This 301-nucleotide ribosomal RNA is filed under the name uncultured bacterium. Its description in RNAcentral is "partial 16S ribosomal RNA". It matches the Rfam family "Bacterial small subunit ribosomal RNA", at positions 509 to 807 of the family's 1533-position model. The record is from RNAcentral.